This 406-nucleotide ribosomal RNA is filed under the name uncultured bacterium. RNAcentral describes it as "partial 16S ribosomal RNA". It matches the Rfam family "Bacterial small subunit ribosomal RNA", at positions 28 to 526 of the family's 1533-position model. The record is from RNAcentral.
GUUGAACGCUGGCGGCAGGCCUAACACAUGCAAGUCGAACGAGUGGCGGCCGGGUGAGUAAUUGCUGGGAAACUGCCUGAUGGAGGGGGCUAACUACUGGAAACGUUAGCUACUACCGCUUACCAUCGUAUCUGCCCAGAUGGGAUUAGCUAGCAGGUGGGGUAACGGCUCACCUAGGCGACGAUCCCGAGCUGAUCUGCGAGGAGGACCAGCCACACUGGAACUGAGACACGGUCCAGACUCCUACGGGAGGCAGCAGUAGGGAAUAUUGCACAAUGGGCGAAAGCCUGAUGCAGCAAUGCCGCGUGAAUGAAGAAGGCUUUCGGGUUGUAAAGUACUUUCAGCGGAGAAGCGUUACCCGCAGAGGAAGCACCGGCUAACUCCGUGCCAGCAGCCGCGGUAAUUC